RNAcentral lists this long non-coding RNA (551 nucleotides) under Bos taurus (domestic cattle). RNAcentral's name for it is "long non-coding RNA NONBTAT024250". Lineage: Eukaryota; Metazoa; Chordata; Mammalia; Artiodactyla; Bovidae. The record is from RNAcentral.
ACCACAUCAAAAGCUUAUCUACUCUUUAUUAGAGUUUCAAGUGGUGUUGCAUAUACUCUCGCAGAAUAGGAGGUCUAAAGGUAGGAAUGCAGUGAAAACCAAAUCAGUUUUUUAAAAAGAAUUACAAAUGAGUCUUUGCUGUUACAUGAACAACUCAAUUUAUUAUGAAUGAUGGUGCAUAUGAAAUAGUUUCAUAAUUUGAGAUAUAAGAACCUAUAGUCAGAAUCAAUAAAAAUGAUGUUUUUGUGAUUUUGCAAAUCUUAUACCAGAUUUACAAGGCUGUUUAAUGAUAAUUUUCUUUUUGUCUGUACAAAGAUCUUUUCAUUUUGAUUGCCUAUAAUGAAGAACACAAGACAUGUAAAUUAAGAAAGACUGAUAAUUGUCUAUAUAAUAAGAUAUACCUGACACUACAUAUUAUUAAGGUUCACAGAAUGUAAAGAACUACUCAAACUGCAUGUUCAAAUACAAAAAAAAAAAAAAAAAGAAAUGUUUUACUCUUAAAGUUUAUCUUUUAACUCUCAUGUAAAUUCUACUUUAUAUGAAUAAUUAUG